This 405-nucleotide long non-coding RNA is filed under the name Lonchura striata (white-rumped munia). RNAcentral describes it as "domestica (Bengalese finch) lncRNA (ENSLSDG00000005218.1)". The record is from RNAcentral. Lineage: Eukaryota; Metazoa; Chordata; Aves; Passeriformes; Estrildidae.
GCGCGGCCGCGCAGGCGCAGCGGCUCCGCGGGGCGCCCGGGGUCCGACCGGCGCGGCGCGGCACGGCGCGGCACGGCACGGCACGGCACGGCGCGGCACGGCACGGCACGGCACGGCGCGGCGCGGCACGGCACGGCACGGCGCGGCACGGCGCGGCACGGCGCGGCACGGCACGGCACGGCACGGCACGGCGCGGCGCGGCACGGCGCGGCACGGCGCGGCACGGCACGGCGCGGCGCGGCACGGCCCCACCGAGCCCCACCGAGCCCGGCGAGCGGCCGGACAUCGGACAGCAGUUCACUGAUUUUGGUUUUGAAGGCUCAUCAUAUGACAGAGAUAACUUGAAGAGAUCUUGCACAGUCUUGAAGGUUGUUUGUCUGCAUUUUGAAUUGCAAUAAGUGUUGC